GACGAACGCUGGCGGCGGGCUUAACACAUGCAAGUCGAACGAGUGGCGAACGGGUGAGUAAUACGUGGGUAACCUGCCCUCUUGUUGGGAUACGCCUUGGAAAGGGGGUCUAAUACCGACUACAGGGGGUUGGGCUCGGGGCCUAGCAGCUUGUGGGUGGGGUGAUGGCUUACCAAGGCGUUGACGGGUGGCCGGCCUGGGAGGGUGGACGGACACAUGGGGACGGAGAUACGGCCCAGAGUCGUCCGGGGUGGAGAAGUGGGCGAUAUGGCACAAUGGGCGAAAGCCUGAUGCAGCGACGCCGCGUGGGGGAUGAGGGCUUUAGGGUUGUAAACGUCGUUCGCUAGCGAACGGGUAGGUGGAGAAGAAGCGCCGGCUAACUACGUGCCAGCAGCCGCGGUAAUUC
This 406-nucleotide ribosomal RNA is filed under the name uncultured bacterium. RNAcentral describes it as "partial 16S ribosomal RNA". It matches the Rfam family "Bacterial small subunit ribosomal RNA", at positions 28 to 526 of the family's 1533-position model. The record is from RNAcentral.